UCUAGCGUCUUCCUUGCGGCGACUUUUGGUUGUAAUGGGGCUGUGUCAAAUUGCGCUUCUGCUUCCAGCGCUGAGGAGAGGGCGCUCUCAGAAGAGACUUCCAGAAUGAGCAGAGGACAGUGAGGAGGGUAGGACCUAAAUCCACGGUUUUGUAUGAGCCCGAAAGCACCUGUAACGGAGCUGUCCCCCUCGCCUGUCCGGCGCCUCGACACUAGCCCUUCGUUUCCGAGGCACCCGCUGGGGACCUUGUUGAGCCUUUACACAGCGGAGACUGAGGUCCCUGGUCACCCGGCCCAGGGCUGGGGUGAGGGGUCGGCUGAGGCCGCUGGACGCGCUUUAGUCCCUGCUUCUCGCGGUCUCGCUCCGCCCGUGGGCGUCGUGGCGGCGCCGGCGCUGACGCUGGCCUCCUUAUUCCCUGAGACACAAUAUUGAAACUAAGCCAGAUGAUAACCCUACAAUGGCCUCUAAGUGUUCAAGCGAAAGGAAGAGUCACACAUCUCUCACUUUAAAUCAAGAGCUAGAAAUGAUUCAGCUUAGCGAGCAAGGCAUUCAAAAGCCAAAAGAGGCUGAAAGCUAGGCCUCUCGCACCAGACAGCCAAGUUGUGAAGGCAAAGGCAGAGUUCUUGAGGAAAAUUAAAAGUGCUACUCCAGUGAACACACAAAUGUGUGAACACCAGCCACGACAUUCCCAUAAACCACAGCCUAAUCCGGAGCAAGGCCCUAACUCUUCAGUUGUAGGUAGGCUGAGAGAGGUGAGGAAGCUGCAGAAGAGAAGCUGGAAAUGAGCAGAGGUUGAUGCAUGCAGUUUAAGAAGCCAUCUCUCGAACAGAAAAGUACAAGGUAAAGCCGAGAGUGCUGAUAGUAGGAGCUGCGGCAAGUUCUCCAGAAGAUCUAACUAAAACAAUUCAUUGAAGGUGGCUACACUAAACAACAGAUUUUCAAUGUAGAUGAAACACCUUCCAUUGGGAAAGUUGUCAUCUAGGACUUUCACAGCUAGAGAGAAGCCAGUGCCUGGCUUAGAGGUUCAAAGUACACGCCGACUCUGCUUAGGGGCAAAUGCAGCUGAUGACUUUAAGUGGAAACCAGUGUCCACUGACCAUUCUGAAAAUCCAAGGACCCUUAAGAAUUAUGCUAAUUCUCUUCUGCCUGUGCUCUGUGAAUGAAAGUACAGAGCCUGGAUGACAGCACAUCUGCGUAUAGCUUGGCUUAUUGAAUGUUUUAGGCCCACUGUUAAGACCUAGUGCUCAGGAAAAAAAAAAAUUCUUUUCAAAAAUAUAUGGUCUGAUUGACAAUGCACUGGUCACCCAAGAGGUCUGGUAGAGAAAUGUACAAUGAGAUUAAUGUUUUCAUGACUGCUAACACAUCAGUUUUGCAGCCCAUGAAUCAAGAAGUAAUUUUGCCUUUCAAGUCUUUUUAAGAAAAACAUUUUGUAAGGCUAUAGCUGCCGUAGAUAGUGAUUCCUCUGAUGGAUCUGGGCAAAGUCAAUAAAAAUCUUCUGGAAAGAAAAAAAAAAUCUUCUGGAAAGAAUUCAUCCUUCUAGAUGCCAUUCAUGAUUCAUGAUUCACGGAAAGAGGUCAAAUUAUCAACAUGAACAAGAGUUUGGAGGAAGUUGAUCUAAUCCUUGUGGAUGACUUUGAGGAUAUAAGGCUUGAGCAGAGGAAAUUACUGCAGAUGUGGCAGAAAGAGCAAGUGAACUCGAAUUACAAGUGGAGGCUGAGGAUGUGACUGAAUUGCUGUGAUCUCAUUCAGCCGAAGGGACGAGGAGCUGCUCUUUAGGGAUGAGCAAAGAACAUGGUUUCUUAAAAUGGGGUCUCCUCCUGGGGGAGAUGGUGAAGAUUGCUGAAAUGACAGCAGAGCACUUAGAUUGUUACCUAAGUUAGUUGAUAAAGCAGCAACAAAGUUUGGGAAGAUUGACUCCAGUUUUUAAAUGGGUAAAAUGCUGUCAGCACUUCAUGACAGAGAAAUCAUUCUUGAAAAGUCAACCGAUGCGGCAGACUUCAUUGCAGUCUUAUUUUAAGAAAUGGCCACAGCCACCCCAGCCUUCAGCAACUGCCACCCUGAUCAGUGAGCAGCCACCAACAAAAGACCCCCUCCUCCACCAGCAAAAAGAUUAUGACUUACAGAAACUCAGAUUAUAUUGAGCAAUAAAGUAUUUUUCAAUUAAGGCAUCGAUGACCUUCAAUAACUUGGUCAUAACUUGACCGUGAGGGCAGCUGCACUCAGCCCAGAGGACUUGUACUGAGAGGUGAUACGGAAGGCUGUGUUUGGGCUUCGGAUCUCACUGGGUAAAGCCUCACCUCUCCUCCAUGAUGCCCCCUUCAUUCUGCCUUUUCUUCAGAACACAUCUUUAGGGCACCCUUCCUCCUUCCUGCAGCCCAGAACUGCUUACAAACAGCAUCAUUGCAAAGAAAGAUUUACAGAGAAUUCCUACAUCCGUCAGGCUGUUCUCGGAUUAAUCUUCUGAUGUCUA
Molecule: long non-coding RNA, 2470 nt
Organism: Lutra lutra (Eurasian river otter)
Lineage: Eukaryota; Metazoa; Chordata; Mammalia; Carnivora; Mustelidae
Exons: 4
Source: RefSeq, a predicted model, not a curated record